Molecule: transfer RNA, 63 nt
Filed under: Yersinia enterocolitica
Lineage: Bacteria; Pseudomonadati; Pseudomonadota; Gammaproteobacteria; Enterobacterales; Yersiniaceae
Also listed under: 2 other names
Description: tRNA-Pro
Rfam family: tRNA
About the family: Transfer RNA (tRNA) molecules are approximately 80 nucleotides in length.
Source: RNAcentral
AGUAGCGCAGCUUGGUAGCGCAACUGGUUUGGGACCAGUGGGUCGGAGGUUCGAAUCCUCUCU